This is a long non-coding RNA of Drosophila sulfurigaster albostrigata, 687 nucleotides long. RefSeq lists it as uncharacterized. The transcript has 3 exons. The record is from RefSeq and is a predicted model, not a curated record. Lineage: Eukaryota; Metazoa; Arthropoda; Insecta; Diptera; Drosophilidae.
UUUGGCGCCAUAUUGUUACGGACUGGUUGUCUUCCCUGGGGCCGCGCCGGCUGGCUCAUCGGUACUCAGGUGGAGUUCCAUCCCUGGCCCGCAGUCCGCACAAUCGAUAAUUUCACCGAUAUUAACAGCUGUUUAUAAGAGAUGAAACGCAUCACUAACAAAACAAAACAGCUGCCGCGCAAUUGAAAAUUGCGCAAAACAAAAGGAAAUCCAAAACAAACUAUUGACGACGGGCCACGCUUGGACCCCGGCGUACCCACCCUGCCUGAGAUGGCUACAUCGGCGACAUCUCCCUUAGCGUUGGCCACUAUAUCAGUGGCUGCUCCUCAUCCGGCGUAGUGCUGUGGAAUUCCCCUCCCUUCCAUGCUGAGAAACUUACACAACCAUGUUCAUCGUAUAAUAUUAAUAGAUAUUCGAAUUUCAUUACAGCUAUACGGAACAGUAUUCGAAGCAAAAGCAAAUAAAACAAACAAGGCGGAACAACAAAGAAAUAAUAACGGAGUAGGGACAAUUAUAUAUGGUAUGUAAAGAGAUCACAGAUAGGUAUAUUUAUGUAUGUAUGUAUACGCAUAUUUGGGUGUAUGUAUGUAUGCUUGAUUCGCUUAAAUGUCUACCUUGACCUGCCUAAGAGCUCUUGAGGUUUGGUGAAGGGGCGAUAGGUGAUGAUAUAGUCGAUAUAUGUAUAUA